This 905-nucleotide long non-coding RNA is filed under the name Marmota monax (woodchuck). Lineage: Eukaryota; Metazoa; Chordata; Mammalia; Rodentia; Sciuridae. The record is from RNAcentral.
CUGAAGGCAGAGCCAGUGCCCCAGACCAGGAUGGCAGUUCCCAGAGACACCCCAGACACCUGGGCCUCCUGGCACCAUCUUCCCUGGCCCUACCCUAUAGAUGCUGUGAUCCAGGUACUUCCAAGCCACCAGAGAGUUGCCUGUGUCCCCAUGACCUGUCCACUGGCUCAGGGGUGACCUCGCCCACGCCCAACAAGACCAAAACAUGGGGCAUUGGUAGCUUCUCUCCCUGAACUGCAGCUGCAGCCUGCAUACUGUGGACAUGGAAGACAUGCUCUGGCCUCAUGGGGCAGCUCUGGACACUCCCUCUCACCUGUCAGGAGCGCCCACCCUCAUUCCACCAUUGCUACACCCAUCUGCCAGCUGACUUUAACAUGGUUUGCUGAAGAAGCCCUGACACCACCUCCUCUUUGAAUUGGGUUCCUUUCACUGCUCCACUGGGAGUCAUCCUUGAGUGCUGCAGCCAGUCCUUCCCUUCUCUGUGGGCUCCCCAACUGUGGCCACUCAGUGGGUCCAAGUGUCCAGGUGCCUGUGGUUCACUGUGUACCAAGGCAUCUCCAGCAGGCCUGGGCAUGCGAUGGGGAGUGAGGCAAAGAUCCACAGCUCAUAUCCAGCAGCAUUCAGUUGCUACUCGUACGGCCCCUCUAGUUCCUGCGCCUUACCUUCUGCCCUCCACAGGUCACAGCCAGGCACGUACAGGCCGUACAAUUUGAAACUUCACAGAGAAAAGCUAAGACUAGGGUGGGUGAGUCGUUUUUCCUCAUCUUGCACCUAGCGAGAAAGAGGUCUUACUUGUGGAUCAGCUCUUGAGCCCUGUCUGGGAGACAGCCUGGUAACAGUUGAAGCAAAAGGAUUCAGAGAGGUUCGAGUGCCCAGGGUGGCGGACACACUGAGGGAGUAUGGAG